This is a non-coding RNA of Phrynosoma platyrhinos (Desert horned lizard), 71 nucleotides long. The record is from the annotation of a GenBank genome assembly. Lineage: Eukaryota; Metazoa; Chordata; Lepidosauria; Squamata; Phrynosomatidae.
GCCAGCAUGGUGUAGUGGUUUGAACAUUAGACUCUGACUCUAGAGACCAGGGUUCAAAUCCCUCCUCAGCA